CCUACGGGUGGCAGCAGUGAGGAAUAUUGGUCAAUGGACGAGAGUCUGAACCAGCCAAGUAGCGUGAAGGAUGACUGCCCUAUGGGUUGUAAACUUCUUUUAUACAGGAAUAAAACGAGGCACGUGUGCCUUUUUGCAUGUACUUUAUGAAUAAGGAUCGGCUAACUCCGUGCCAGCAGCCGCGGUAAUACGGAGGAUCCGAGCGUUAUCCGGAUUUAUUGGGUUUAAAGGGAGCGUAGAUGGGUUGUUAAGUCAGUUGUGAAAGGUUGCGGCUCAACCGUAAAAUUGCAAUGGAUACUGGCAGUCUUGAGUACAGUGGAGGUAGGCGGAAUUCGUGGUGUAGCGGUGAAAUGCUUAGAUAUCACGAAGAACCCCGAUUGCGAAGGCAGCUUACUAAACUGUGACUGACAUUGAUGCUCGAAGGUGUGGGUAUCAAACAGGAUUAGAUACCCCAGUAGUC
RNAcentral lists this ribosomal RNA (460 nucleotides) under uncultured bacterium. Its description in RNAcentral is "partial 16S ribosomal RNA". It matches the Rfam family "Bacterial small subunit ribosomal RNA", at positions 338 to 795 of the family's 1533-position model. The record is from RNAcentral.